ACCAGCUACACCUAACAUGUGA
This 22-nucleotide small nuclear RNA is filed under the name Arabidopsis thaliana (thale cress). RNAcentral describes it as "snRNA_18025". The record is from RNAcentral. Lineage: Eukaryota; Viridiplantae; Streptophyta; Magnoliopsida; Brassicales; Brassicaceae.